AGGACGAACGCUGGCGGCGUGCUUAACACAUGCAAGUCGAGCGACGCUCUCCUUUCGGGGGAUGACGGAGCGGCGAACGGGUGAGUAACACGUGGGCAACCUGCCCCUAGCUCUGGGAUAACUCCUCGAAAGAGGGGCUAAUACCGGAUAUGACCUUGGGGGACAUCUCCUUGGGUGGAAAGUUUUUUCGGCUAGGGAUGGGCCCGCGGCCUAUCAGCUUGUUGGUGGGGUAAUGGCCUACCAAGGCGACGACGGGUA
Molecule: ribosomal RNA, 258 nt
Filed under: uncultured bacterium
Lineage: Bacteria
Description: partial small subunit ribosomal RNA
Rfam family: Bacterial small subunit ribosomal RNA
Source: RNAcentral